GACAGAGGAUGCAAGCGUUAUCCGGAAUGAUUGGGCGUAAAGCGUCUGUAGGUGGCUUUUCAAGUCCGCCGUCAAAUCCCAGGGCUCAACCCUGGACAGGCGGUGGAAACUACCAAGCUGGAGUACGGUAGGGGCAGAGGGAAUUUCCGGUGGAGCGGUGAAAUGCGUAGAUAUCUGGAGGAACACCGGUGGCGAAGGCGGCAUCCUGGACCAAUACUGACGCUGAGGCGCGAAAGCUAGGGGAGCAAACGGG
Molecule: ribosomal RNA, 253 nt
Filed under: uncultured bacterium
Lineage: Bacteria
Description: partial 16S ribosomal RNA
Rfam family: Bacterial small subunit ribosomal RNA
Source: RNAcentral